This 255-nucleotide ribosomal RNA is filed under the name uncultured bacterium. Its description in RNAcentral is "partial 16S ribosomal RNA". It matches the Rfam family "Bacterial small subunit ribosomal RNA", at positions 524 to 776 of the family's 1533-position model. The record is from RNAcentral.
UACAGAGGCCUCAAGCAUUAUCCGGAAUCACUGGGCGUAAAGGGUGUGUAGGCGGCGAUAUUAGUCCUUCGUGAAAGCCCGUGGGCUUAACCCAUGGAACGCGGGGGAAACGGUAUCGCUUAGAGGACGCGAGAGGUAUAUGGAACUCAUGGUGUAGGGGUGAAAUCCGUUGAUAUCAUGGGGAACACCAAAUGCGAAGGCAAUAUACUGGCGCGCUCCUGACGCUGAGACACGAAAGCGUGGGAAUCGAACGGG